Molecule: long non-coding RNA, 1387 nt
Organism: Hemicordylus capensis (graceful crag lizard)
Lineage: Eukaryota; Metazoa; Chordata; Lepidosauria; Squamata; Cordylidae
Exons: 5
Source: RefSeq, a predicted model, not a curated record
GGGAGCUCCCCGCUAUGGCUGUUGGAUGGAAACUGGCCUUGAUCAGUAUCUGUGCCAUGUAGAGGUUUGCCUCACUCUUGGGCUGAAGGACCAGCGUGGGCGAGGGGCCACCACCAAGUGAGUCCUUGCCCCUGUCGCCUGCCUUAGAAUGGAUGGAGCCUGAGGUGUGUAGAACACGGUCUUCCCUCGGUUGACUCCUCUCCUCAUUAGGGCAGGAAAUGCCGUUAGCCCCUUAAAUGCCUGCCUCCAGGCAGUAAUUGGCUGGAUGAGGGAUAAUAAACUGAAACUGAAUCCAAGCAAGACAGAGGUGCUCAUUGUUGGGGGUCUUAAUCUGCAAGACAGGAUAGAACUGUUCUGGACAAGGCUGCACUCCCCCUGAAAGAACAGACCUCUUCAUCAGCUCCAGUCCAGCUUGCCUGCUCUCCCAGGUGGGGAAGAACCGUGGAAGUUGUUAGCAGGGUCUAAGAGCCUGUUCCAGGGUGUGUCGUGGGGUUACGCUCCUGGACUGAAGGGGAAGCACUCCUCCUGAAAGUUUUAAAAUCCCUCCACCUCAGUAUGCAAGAAGUCUAAGCAGCAGCAGCAGCAGGAGCAGCAGCAGCAGCAGGAGGGAUGCAAACUAACGUGAGCCCGAAAUAGGAUGGCCUGAGCUUUAAAAAUCUGAGGAACACUAGAAAUGGCCGGGGAGACAGCCUGAGAGAGACCCACAGCAUGCGACUUUCUCUUCCUCUAAAGCCCUGAACAGAUAAAAAGGAUUUGUUUGAAUCCAGCCUUAAUCCAGGAGGUCACAUUUGGAGACAGACCUGCACAUCCUACAGAGGAAAUUCUGGCCAAACCCCACUCCCCCUAUUCUUCUAAAGAACGGUUACCUCCCAAAUUAGCUCCCUGACUAAGAUUUUUGGACCAGCAUUUGGAUAUUACUACACAGCACUGAGAAAAAAGAAUUUACAGGUGAACCCUGUUAUCCGCAGUGGUUCCAUUCUCUGCUACAACCAUCGAUAAAGAAACAGCGGAUAAUGAGUCAUCGCCUCAAUGGGACUUGGGGAUUAGGUUUCUGGUGGGGUGGGGAGGCUAAAACUAAAUAUCCAUAGUAGCAAUAGUAAAAGGGCUAAAAUAAUUGAUAAAUUACAGUAAUUGAUUUGUAAUUGAUAAAUCUGUGUUUGAUAAAUUACAGAAACAAAGUGCUGUAGUGUGUUCCAUGGGUCUCCAGCAAGGCCUCCAAAAGGCCCAAUUCUGCCAUUUUUUGACAAGAAAUAAUGAUUAGUACCCCCCACUACCACCAUUGAAAAUGAGCCACAAAAUGGCUCCUGUCCUCAAAACAGUGGCUGGAAAGGACCUUGGAGGUCCUUUCCAGUCACCCCCAAAACCUCUGAUAUGCAGAAUUUAACCC